This 301-nucleotide ribosomal RNA is filed under the name uncultured bacterium. Its description in RNAcentral is "partial 16S ribosomal RNA". It matches the Rfam family "Bacterial small subunit ribosomal RNA", at positions 509 to 807 of the family's 1533-position model. The record is from RNAcentral.
CAGUAGCCGCGGGAAUACGGAGGGUGCAAGCGUUAAUCGGAAUUACUGGGCGUAAAGCGUGCGCAGGCGGUUAUAUAAGACAGAUGUGAAAUCCCCGGGCUCAACCUGGGAACUGCAUUUGUGACUGUAUAGCUAGAGUACGGCAGAGGGGGAUGGAAUUCCGCGUGUAGCAGUGAAAUGCGUAGAUAUGCGGAGGAACACCGAUGGCGAAGGCAAUCCCCUGGGCCUGUACUGACGCUCAUGCACGAAAGCGUGGGGAGCAAACAGGAUUAGAUACCCGUGUAGUCCCUGUCUCUUAUAC